This 617-nucleotide ribosomal RNA is filed under the name uncultured Actinomycetes bacterium. RNAcentral describes it as "bacterial SSU rRNA". It matches the Rfam family "Bacterial small subunit ribosomal RNA", at positions 556 to 1174 of the family's 1533-position model. The record is from RNAcentral. Lineage: Bacteria; Bacillati; Actinomycetota; Actinomycetes.
GGGCGUAAAGAGCUUGUAGGCGGCUUGUCGCGUCUGCUGUGAAAGCCCGGGGCUUAACCCCGGGUCUGCAGUGGGUACGGGCAGGCUAGAGUGUGGUAGGGGAGACUGGAAUUCCUGGUGUAGCGGUGGAAUGCGCAGAUAUCAGGAGGAACACCGAUGGCGAAGGCAGGUCUCUGGGCCAUUACUGACGCUGAGAAGCGAAAGCGUGGGGAGCGAACAGGAUUAGAUACCCUGGUAGUCCACGCCGUAAACGUUGGGCGCUAGGUGUGGGUCCCAUUCCACGGGGUCCGUGCCGCAGCUAACGCAUUAAGCGCCCCGCCUGGGGAGUACGGCCGCAAGGCUAAAACUCAAAGGAAUUGACGGGGGCCCGCACAAGCGGCGGAGCAUGCGGAUUAAUUCGAUGCAACGCGAAGAACCUUACCAAGGCUUGACAUGUACCGGAAACCCUCGGAGACGGGGGCCCCGCAAGGCUGGUACACAGGUGGUGCAUGGUUGUCGUCAGCCCGUGUCGUGAGAUGUUGGGUUAAGUCCCGCAACGAGCGCAACCCUCGUUCUAUGUUGCCAGCGGUUCGGCCGGGGACUCAUAGGAGACUGCCGGGGUCAACUCGGAGGAAGGU